RNAcentral lists this ribosomal RNA (377 nucleotides) under uncultured eukaryote. RNAcentral's name for it is "partial 18S ribosomal RNA". It matches the Rfam family "Eukaryotic small subunit ribosomal RNA", at positions 592 to 976 of the family's 1831-position model. The record is from RNAcentral.
CAAUAGCGUAUAUUAAAGUUGUUGCAGUUAAAAAGCUCGUAGUCGGAUUUUGGCAUGAUCUAAUGCGUCGGCCGAUCGGUUGUACGUGUUGGGUUAUGCUUCCUUCUGGAGGUCUGCGCUGCUCUUAACUGAGUGGUGUAGGUGUUCAGAUAUUUUACUUUGAAAAAAUUAGAGUGUUCAAAGCAAGCUUAUGCUGUGAAUACAUUAGCAUGGGAUAAUGGAAUAGGACUUUGGUUCUAUUUUGUUGGUUUCUAGGACCGAAGUAAUGAUUAAUAGGGAUAGUUGGGGGCAUUCAUAUUUAAUUGUCAGAGGUGAAAUUCUUGGAUUUAUGAAAGAUGAACUUCUGCGAAAGCAUUUGCCAAGGAUGUUUUCAUUGA